AGGAUCACUGCUUUGAGGGAUGAAUGUGGAGCGUUGUUUCCCCAUCACCUUAUAUAGCCCAUUUUCCUUUUUCCAAAUAUGUUGUCUGAUGUCGUUGCCAGAGGGAAAGAGUUUUUCUCUUCUCAUGAAGCAUGUUUGGCUUAAUCUAUCAGGAUAUCAGGAAAAUAAAUGAACAUGUGUGGUUAAAAAAAAACCUGACAGUCUUCUCCUACACAUUACCACAACAUUUCAGAAAUUGGAAGAUGAACUCUAAAGUAAACAAAUCUGUCUUCUGGAAUGCUUUCCCCAUGGACUUCCUCUGCUGUUGGAUUGCUUACCAGCGUCUGCUCACCCAGUUUACCGACCCUGCCAUCGCCUGUCAUGUUUUUUUUAACUCUUUUUCCCCUCUCCUACUUCUCUUCAUCUCAGUUAACCCUGAAGUGCUCUUAAACUCACAGAGUUUGGCUUUUAUAAUUACUUGAUCAGUUCACUGAUCAGUUACAGUACUGUCUUGAGCUUUGACAAAAACUUUUAUUCAAAUUCUGUUGAGGAGCCCUUGUAAUAUUUUCUCCAGCUUCCACCUGUGACUUUGUACUUCAGAGCACAUAAUGAAAUACGUGCUUGUUUCUAGUCAGUUGUGUUCUGUGUUUAAUUAAGGUAUAGCUGCAAUUUAUGCUGAGUCCCUGAGAGAUGAGUGAGUUAUUGAUGAUCUGGAGUCCCUCGGAGGUUAAGGGUAGAAACUUAACUGUAGCAGUAUCCUGGUCUGCUACUUUUGCAGAUGGAAUAAGAUGAGUAAACUAAAUGAUCUACCCUCUUGAUAAUAGAAUAGCAUUAAAGUUUUUUUCUUUCUUCCUUGAAUCAUUAUACUAUAGAUGUAAAUGCCAAGAAGUUAGAAUCAGUUCUGGGGAGAUGGAAAAUAAGUUAAAAUAUGACAUAAUAUUAGCAGUAAAUUAUGCUGGGAAGAACAGCCACGCAGGACAAAGAAGGAGCUCUGGAUUGAUUGGGAUGGGAUGGUAGGAAGGGCUGUUUGACUUUUAGACAGAUUGGUCAGGGUGGCCUCCCUGAGAA
This is a long non-coding RNA of Canis lupus familiaris (dog), 1047 nucleotides long. RefSeq lists it as uncharacterized. The transcript is spliced from 3 exons. NCBI's taxonomy places the organism in Eukaryota, Metazoa, Chordata, Mammalia, Carnivora, Canidae. The record is from RefSeq and is a predicted model, not a curated record.